RNAcentral lists this ribosomal RNA (654 nucleotides) under uncultured archaeon. RNAcentral's name for it is "bacterial SSU rRNA". It matches the Rfam family "Archaeal small subunit ribosomal RNA", at positions 508 to 1160 of the family's 1478-position model. The record is from RNAcentral.
GCCUAAAGCGUCCGUAGCCGGCUCUGUAAGUUUUCGGUUAAAUCCAUAUGCUCAACAUAUGGGCCGCCGGGAAUACUGCAUAGCUAGGGAGUGGGAGAGGUAGACGGUACUCCGUAGGAAGGGGUAAAAUCCUUUGAUCUAUGGAUGACCACCUGUGGCGAAGGCGGUCUACCAGAACACGUUCGACGGUGAGGGAUGAAAGCUGGGGGAGCAAACCGGAUUAGAUACCCGGGUAGUCCCAGCUGUAAACUAUGCAAACUCAGUGAUGCAUUGGCUUGUGGCCAGUGCAGUGCCGCAGAGAAGUCGUUAAGUUUGCCGCCUGGGAAGUACGUACGCAAGUAUGAAACUUAAAGGAAUUGGCGGGGGAGCACCGCAAGGGGUGAAGCCUGCGGUUCAAUUGGAGUCAACGCCAGAAAUCUUACCCGGAGAGACAGCAGGAUGAAGGUCAAGCUGAAGACUUUACCAGACAAGCUGAGAAGUGGUGCAUGGCCGUCGCCAGCUCGUGCCGUGAGGUGUCCUGUUAAGUCAGGUAACGAGCGAGAUCCUUGCCUCUAGUUGCCACCAUUACUCUCAGGAGUAGUGGGGCGAAUUAGCGGGACUGCCGUAGUUAAUACGGAGGAAGGAGAGGGCCACGGCAGGUCAGUAUGCCCCGAA